This 520-nucleotide small RNA is filed under the name Pan troglodytes (chimpanzee). RNAcentral's name for it is "processed transcript". Lineage: Eukaryota; Metazoa; Chordata; Mammalia; Primates; Hominidae. The record is from RNAcentral.
AGUGUCAGUUGCUCGGCGGCGGCGGCCGUGGUCACCAGGAAGGGGACGGGACGGACGGUGAUGGUGGUCGCCGCGGCGGCGUGUGCGCCCCUCAGGAAAAGAAUACUUGAGAUCCAUUUGUAAGGAAAGAAAAGGAAGCAACAACAUAAUGCCCAGAGUUGGAGCCAAUUAAACCAGACAAGUCUCACUCUGUCGCCCAGGCUGGAGUGCGGUGGCGUGAUCUUGGCUCACUGCAACCUCUGCCUUCCAGGUUCGAGUAAUUCUCCUGCCUCAGCCUCCCAAGCAGCUGGGUCUACAGUAAACAUUGCUAUCUUCAGAAAUUAAGGAAUGAGAGGCAAGGAAGAAAGGACAUUCAUCUUGGAAAGACCCAAAGCACCUUGAAAUUUGGAAGGAAUGUUUUGCUAGCUGCUAAAACCACCUUUGUCACCAGAAUGAAUGAAGUGCUUCAGAUUUAAACAAUUGAUCAUUCUUAGAAGAGCUGCUGUAACACAUAGGGGAAGUGAAAACUAACAGAUGAAAG